This 2402-nucleotide ribosomal RNA is filed under the name Streptomyces sp. FBKL.4005. Its description in RNAcentral is "bacterial LSU rRNA". It matches the Rfam family "Bacterial large subunit ribosomal RNA". Lineage: Bacteria; Bacillati; Actinomycetota; Actinomycetes; Kitasatosporales; Streptomycetaceae. The record is from RNAcentral.
ACAGUGGACGCGAGCAUCUGUGGCCAAGUUUUUAAGGGCGCACGGUGGAUGCCUUGGCACCAGGAACCGAUGAAGGACGUGGGAGGCCGCGAUAGUCCCCGGGGAGUCGUCAACCAGGCUUUGAUCCGGGGGUUUCCGAAUGGGGAAACCCGGCAGUCGUCAUGGGCUGUCACCUACUGCUGAACACAUAGGCAGUGUGGAGGGAACGCGGGGAAGUGAAACAUCUCAGUACCCGCAGGAAGAGAAAACAACCGUGAUUCCGGGAGUAGUGGCGAGCGAAACUGGAUGAGGCCAAACCUACGACGUGUGAGACCCGGCAGGGGUUGCGUCGUGGGGGUUGUGGGAUCUCUCUUCGAAACAGCCCAGAGCAUCGACUAAGGCCCCUAAGCGUACGCUAAGUGGGAAAGGAUGUGGAGUCGCAGAGACAACCAGGAGGUUGGCUUAGAAGCAGCCACCCUUGAAAGAGUGCGUAAUAGCUCACUGGUCUAGUGAUUCCGCGCCGACAAUGUAGCGGGGCUCAAGCGUACCGCCGAAGUCGUGUCAUUCAUACAUAUAGCCCCAACGGGUGUAUGGAUGGGUAGGGGAGCGUCGUCUGCCGGGUGAAGCGGCACUGGAAGGUAGUCGUGGACGGUUGACGAGUGAGAAUGCAGGCAUGAGUAGCGAUACAAACGUGAGAAACGUUUGCGCCGAUUGACUAAGGGUUCCUGGGUCAAGCUGAUCUGCCCAGGGUAAGUCGGGACCUAAGGCGAGGCCGACAGGCGUAGUCGAUGGAUAACCGGUUGAUAUUCCGGUACCCGCUGUGAAGCGUCAAACAUCGAGCAUCGUGAUGCUAAGGCCGUGAAGCCGUUCCGGACCCUUCGGGGAAAGGAAAGUGGUGGAGCCGCCGAACCAAGCGGUUAGUAGGUGAGUGAUGGGGUGACGCAGGAAGGUAGUCCAUCCCGGGCGGUGGUUGUCCCGGGGUAAGGGUGUAGCCCGAGUGGUAGGCAAAUCCGCCACUCAUGCAGGGUGAGACCUGAUGCCGAGCCGAUUGUGGUGAAGUGGAUGAUCCUAUGCUGUCGAGAAAAGCCUCUAGCGAGUUUCAUGGCGGCCCGUACCCUAAACCGACUCAGGUGGUCAGGUAGAGAAUACCGAGGCGUUCGGGUGAACUAUGGUUAAGGAACUCGGCAAAAUGCCCCCGUAACUUCGGGAGAAGGGGGGCCACAUCCGGUGAUGAGCUUCGCGCUCUGAGCUGGGGGUGGCCGCAGAGACCAGCGAGAAGCGACUGUUUACUAAAAACACAGGUCCGUGCGAAGCCGUAAGGCGAUGUAUACGGACUGACGCCUGCCCGGUGCUGGAACGUUAAGGGGACCGGUUAGCUCACUUUCGGGUGGGCGAAGCUGAGAACUUAAGCGCCAGUAAACGGCGGUGGUAACUAUAACCAUCCUAAGGUAGCGAAAUUCCUUGUCGGGUAAGUUCCGACCUGCACGAAUGGCGUAACGACUUCUCGACUGUCUCAACCAUAGGCCCGGUGAAAUUGCACUACGAGUAAAGAUGCUCGUUUCGCGCAGCAGGACGGAAAGACCCCGGGACCUUUACUACAGUUUGAUAUUGGUGUUCGGUUCGGCUUGUGUAGGAUAGCUGGGAGACUGUGAAGCAGGCACGCCAGUGUUUGUGGAGUCGUCGUUGAAAUACCAGUCUGGUCGUGCUGGAUGUCUAACCUGGGUCCGUGAUCCGGAUCAGGGACAGUGUCUGAUGGGUAGUUUAACUGGGGCGGUUGCCUCCUAAAGGGUAACGGAGGCGCCCAAAGGUUCCCUCAGCCUGGUUGGCAAUCAGGUGUUGAGUGUAAGUGCACAAGGGAGCUUGACUGUGAGACCGACGGGUCGAGCAGGGACGAAAGUCGGGACUAGUGAUCCGGCGGUGGCUUGUGGAAGCGCCGUCGCUCAACGGAUAAAAGGUACCCCGGGGAUAACAGGCUGAUCUUCCCCAAGAGUCCAUAUCGACGGGAUGGUUUGGCACCUCGAUGUCGGCUCGUCGCAUCCUGGGGCUGGAGUCGGUCCCAAGGGUUGGGCUGUUCGCCCAUUAAAGCGGUACGCGAGCUGGGUUUAGAACGUCGUGAGACAGUUCGGUCCCUAUCCGCUGUGCGCGUAGGAGUCUUGAGAAGGGCUGUCCCUAGUACGAGAGGACCGGGACGGACGAACCUCUGGUGUGCCAGUUGUUCUGCCAAGGGCAUGGCUGGUUGGCUACGUUCGGGAGGGAUAACCGCUGAAAGCAUCUAAGCGGGAAGCCUGCUUCGAGAUGAGGACUCCCACCCACUUGAUGGGGUAAGGCUCCCAGUAGACGACUGGGUUGAUAGGCCGGAUCUGGAAGCACGGUAACGUGUGGAGGUGACCGGUACUAAUAGGCCGAGGGCUUGUCCUCAGUUG